GUGCCCCCUAGGCAGCAUGUAUACUAACAUUGGAACCAGACAGAGAAGGUUAGCAUGGCCCCUGCACAAGGAGAGAAAGGACAAGCUGAGUGAGAGAAUCAAUUACU
Small nuclear RNA from Suricata suricatta (meerkat), 107 nucleotides. NCBI's taxonomy places the organism in Eukaryota, Metazoa, Chordata, Mammalia, Carnivora, Herpestidae. The record is from Ensembl.